GCCUUCGCUGCUCCGCCGCGGCUCUCAGCGCCGCUCAGCGCGGCGGGCCCGCCCGGGCUCAGGUGCCCCCCGCUCUCCGGACCUUCUCGCCCGGCCCCGCGUCCCCUCCGCGGGCUUCCCCCGGCGGCCGGCCGGGCUCGGAGGCUCGCGGCCGGAGCGGAGCGGAGUGCGCACGCCGGGGUGGCAGGACUUCGGCAAGACCAACUUUCCGGUUCGGAAGCGGCGCGGGCCGCGCGGCUCCUCCCCUCCUCUCCCUCCCCUGCGUUCCCCCUCCCUUCCACUCCCCCCUCUCCCCGCCCCCCAACCCGCGGGCCCCACCGACUCCGGAGCGCCCGCCCCGCCCGCUGCUGCCACCGGGCCGCCUCGCCCCCGCGCCAGCCCGCCUGGGCCUCUGCGCCGCCGGCGGCUUCUUAAAUACAGGAAAGGGAGGGGACCGCAGGGCCCCGGUGUUCCCCACCCUAGUCCCCCUUCACCACGGGCCACCGGGCGCCAGCGGAGUGGGCAGCGAGCGCGACCGAAAGUUCCAACUCCACCAAACUCCCGCGCGCGGCCCACCCUUUCCCGGGAUUUCGGGGAUGACACGGGGGCCAGUGGUCCUGUCUGGUGUGAACCGUCAGCACAGAUGGCCUCCUGGAGCUUCCCCGAGUCGUUCGCUGGGGGAAGCGGGCGGUGAGCGGCCAGCCCGGGCGCUCCGCAGGCCGCGAGCUCCCGGCAGGGCUGGUGGCGGGGGUCCGCCUGGGGGAGGAAUCCCCGCCUGCUCCAUCGGACCCGGCCUGGCGCGGCUCGCGGCGCUCGGCGGGCUCCCUUCCAUUCUAGAAUCUUCCCGCUUGCUUCCCAGCCCGCGUUCUUCCGCCUGCCUUUAAUUGUGUAAGUUUGACGAAGUCAGAGCUUUGGGUUCCAGGAAAAGCGCAGGAGGGUCAUAGAGGAAGGGAGGGCGCAGGUUGGAGUCAGGUCCAAACAGUCCCUAUCGCCACUUUUG
RNAcentral lists this long non-coding RNA (979 nucleotides) under Homo sapiens (human). RNAcentral's name for it is "HSALNT0395400". Lineage: Eukaryota; Metazoa; Chordata; Mammalia; Primates; Hominidae. The record is from RNAcentral.